This 400-nucleotide transfer-messenger RNA is filed under the name uncultured Prevotellamassilia sp. It matches the Rfam family "transfer-messenger RNA". From Rfam's summary of the family: Bacterial tmRNA, also known as 10Sa RNA or SsrA, is named for its dual tRNA and mRNA-like properties. The record is from RNAcentral. Lineage: Bacteria; Pseudomonadati; Bacteroidota; Bacteroidia; Bacteroidales; Prevotellaceae.
GGGCCUGACUGGAUUUGACUGCAGGCCAAAGUGGUACGUAAGCAUGCAGUGCGGACGGAAGCGGGCACUCAAAACUCGGCUUUCAAAAAUUUAAUUGGCGAAAAUAAUUACGCUCUCGCUGCCUGAUUGAAGCAUAGUAGGUCAGCUUAAUUCCGGCUAAAGGUUGCUGGAACGAGACAUCGCCCAAGAGCAGUUUUUCCGAAGCGUCUUGAUACGGCGGUGCAGUCAACUCGGAAAUAGCCGCAGGCGGCCUCGCGUCGACGGUGAAGUUUUUCAGAGGCUAAGGUGCCGGCCGGUAGUUUGGGUCUUGCCGGCGCUCGAAAAUCCAAGCCAAAAUAAGCAUGUAGAAAGCGUAGUGCUUUCCUGUUAGGACGAGGGUUCAAUCCCCUCCAGGUCCACU